Molecule: ribosomal RNA, 470 nt
Filed under: uncultured bacterium
Lineage: Bacteria
Description: bacterial SSU rRNA
Rfam family: Bacterial small subunit ribosomal RNA
Source: RNAcentral
GAGUUUGAUCCUGGCUCAGGAUGAACGCUGGCGGCGUGCUUAACACAUGCAAGUCGAACGGAGUUAUCAUUUUUGAAGCGAUUAGCUUGCUAAGAGUGGAAAAGUUGAUAACUUAGUGGCGGACGGGUGAGUAACGCGUGGGUAACCUGCCUUACACAGGGGGAUAACACUUAGAAAUAGGUGCUAAUACCGCAUAAGCGCACAGUCCCGCAUGGGACAGAGUGAAAAACAUUAGUGGUGUAAGAUGGACCCGCGUCUGAUUAGCUUGUUGGCGGGGUAACGGCCCACCAAGGCGACGAUCAGUAGCCGGCCUGAGAGGGUGGACGGCCACAUUGGGACUGAGACACGGCCCAAACUCCUACGGGAGGCAGCAGUGGGGGAUAUUGGACAAUGGGGGAAACCCUGAUCCAGCGACGCCGCGUGAGUGAAGAAGUAUUUCGGUAUGUAAAGCUCUAUCAGCAGGGAAGAAA